This is a long non-coding RNA of Mobula hypostoma (lesser devil ray), 535 nucleotides long. RefSeq lists it as uncharacterized. The record is from RefSeq and is a predicted model, not a curated record. NCBI's taxonomy places the organism in Eukaryota, Metazoa, Chordata, Chondrichthyes, Myliobatiformes, Myliobatidae. The transcript is spliced from 3 exons.
GUCACAUACAGAGGAGUGGAGAUGCUUUUUGCCUUAAAGCAUCUUAACCGCAUCUGGAGGAUACUGAAGAGAAGUGCUGCUGCUUCCCUCCGGCUGGCAGUAUGGCGUGCUGGUGAACAAGUUCAGCCACUGUAUAGCAUUGGAACAACGUCUUCAAUCACAGGGAUAUUGGAAUUUUGUAGGAGAUGCGUUACCAUUUUCCCAGCAUUCAUUACGAUGUUACAUCAGCAGGACCCAGAACUGGUUCCCAAGACUAUUACAUCAUGCUGAAAGGUUAAAGGAAUAUUACUUACUGAAUGCGGCCUUUUUACUGCCUGUCCUUGCAUUAGGUGUCCAAGAUGGAGAGUGUGUGUUAGAUAUGUGUGCUGCUCCUGGAGGAAAAUCUGUGGCAAUAUUGCAGUCUGCCACUCCACGUCACUUUCUUUGCAAUGAGCAGGACAAUUUGCGUCAGAAGUGGCUGAAGCAAACCCUUGAGUCUUUUGUACCUGAUGCCAUAGGGGGGGUAAUAUCUGUGACGAACCUGGAUGGAAGAGUC